GGGGAAUAUUGCACAAUGGGCGGAAGCCUGAUGCAGCGACGCCGCGUGGGGGAUGACGGUCUUCGGAUUGUAAACCCCUUUCAGUAGGGACGAAGCGCAAGUGACGGUACCUGCAGAAGAAGCACCGGCCAACUACGUGCCAGCAGCCGCGGUAAUACGUAGGGUGCGAGCGUUGUCCGGAAUUACUGGGCGUAAAGAGCUCGUAGGCGGUUUGUCGCGUCGUCCGUGAAAACUCGGAGCUUAACUCCGGGCGUGCGGGCGAUACGGGCAGACUUGAGUACUACAGGGGAGACUGGAAUUCCUGGUGUAGCGGUGAAAUGCGCAGAUAUCAGGAGGAACACCGGUGGCGAAGGCGGGUCUCUGGGUAGUAACUGACGCUGAGGAGCGAAAGCAUGGGUAGCGAAC
RNAcentral lists this ribosomal RNA (405 nucleotides) under uncultured bacterium. Its description in RNAcentral is "bacterial SSU rRNA". It matches the Rfam family "Bacterial small subunit ribosomal RNA", at positions 356 to 773 of the family's 1533-position model. The record is from RNAcentral.